GGAGGGAAGCUCACUGGUGGGGCUACGAGCUGAGUGUAUCACGUCACUCCACCCCAUGUCCCCUGGGAAGGUCUGAGACUAGGGCCAGCAGUGGUCCUAACAGGGUCCUCCCUGAGUGCAGGGAGGUGAGUUCCCAGACAAUGGGGUUCCAUGCGAGGCAGACUGGGCAGGAGAAAUCAGCCCCCAGAAGGGAUGGCCACACUGCAAUCCUUUCAUCUCUUAUUUUCUUUCUGGGAUUUUUGAGCAUGCACACACACAUGCCAGGUGUGAUUUUUCAUGCUUCCAGGUCUGAGACUAGAACAAUGGUCAGCCAUGUGGUUAGUGCUUUAACCACUACUCCACCCACU
RNAcentral lists this RNase P RNA (347 nucleotides) under Tupaia belangeri chinensis (Chinese tree shrew). RNAcentral describes it as "Tupaia chinensis (Chinese tree shrew) Nuclear RNase P". It matches the Rfam family "Nuclear RNase P". Rfam says of the family: Ribonuclease P (RNase P) is a ubiquitous endoribonuclease, found in archaea, bacteria and eukarya as well as chloroplasts and mitochondria. Its best characterised activity is the generation of mature 5'-ends of tRNAs by cleaving the 5'-leader elements of precursor-tRNAs. The record is from Rfam by way of RNAcentral. Lineage: Eukaryota; Metazoa; Chordata; Mammalia; Scandentia; Tupaiidae.